Molecule: ribosomal RNA, 372 nt
Filed under: uncultured organism
Description: partial 16S ribosomal RNA
Rfam family: Bacterial small subunit ribosomal RNA
Source: RNAcentral
GAGGGGUGCAAGCGUUAUUCGGAUUUAUUGGGCGUAAAGGGUGUGUAGACGGUAGAUUAAGUCAACUGUUAAAUUCUUCGGCUUAACCGAAGACCUGCAGUAGAAACUGAUAUACUAGAGGAUGGAAGAGAGAAGUGGAAUUCUCGGAGUAGCGGUAGAAUGCGUAGAUCUCGAGAGGAACACCAAUGGCGAAGGCAGCUUCUUGGUCCAUUCCUGACGUUGAUACACGAAAGCGUGGGGAGCAAACAGGGAUUAGAUACUCUGGUAGUCCACGCCGUAAACGAUGAUCACUAGACGUCAGCUCUGGUUUACAGGGUUGGUGUCGUAGCUAACGCGUUAAGUGAUCCGCCUGGGAUUACGGUCGCAAGGCUA